RNAcentral lists this ribosomal RNA (253 nucleotides) under uncultured bacterium. RNAcentral describes it as "partial 16S ribosomal RNA". It matches the Rfam family "Bacterial small subunit ribosomal RNA", at positions 524 to 776 of the family's 1533-position model. The record is from RNAcentral.
GACAGAGGCCCCAAGCGUUAGGCGGAAUUACUGGGCGUAAAGCGUGCGCAGGCGGCGCGUUAAGACAGGUGUGAAAGCCCCGAGCUUAACUUGGGAAUUGCGCUUGUGACUGGCGUGCUGGAGUGUGGCAGAGGGAGGUGGAAUUCCACGUGUAGCAGUGAAAUGCGUAGAGAUGUGGAGGAACACCGAUGGCGAAGGCAGCCUCCUGGGCCAGCACUGACGCUCAUGCACGAAAGCGUGGGGAGCAAACAGG